CCUCCUCCCUCCCCUCCCCUCCUCCCUCCCCUCCCCUCCUCCCUCCCUCCUUCUCUCUUGUCCUUCGGCUCUUUUUUCCGGGUUAAUUACGUUUCGCAUUAAAGCAAAACCCAGCCCCGGAUGUGAGUACAAUGCUCCGCCGAGCCCGCCGGGGGCGGAGAGGGGUGCUGGGGCGCCGCGGGCUGGGAGGGGGCGCGGCCGGGCGCGCGGGCUGCGCGGACUCGGCGGGGGCGGGGCGCCCGGAGGCGGCCCCAGAGGCUGCGCGCCGGGACCACCUCGGCCGCGCAGGGGGAGGCCCUGCUUCCGACGCCGGCCCCGGGCAGCAGGUGUCCGAGUGGGAAAGGGGCCCGGGGAUAAGGGCAUCCUAGAAACAGGGAGACGAGCCGGCCCGCGGGCUCACUCUUUACCCCGUUUAUUCUUCCCAAAGCACCCACCUCCUCCCCCAGCCCGCUCCAGCGACUUCAGCCGGGCCUUCCCCGGACCCAGAGCCUUCAGCCAUCGGGGUUUAGGGUUAGCGUCGAAGGAAGCAUCUCAGAUUCUCCCGGGUUGUCAUGCAUGUGCCCCAGGAGCCCAAGGGGGUCGUAAGUUCUAACGGCUGUAUAGGGACUUUUUCAGAGCGUGGCGCAAAGACGCCUUUCCAGCCCUCGGAGCGGGAGGGAGCUCUGGGGGAAAAUGGGAAACAGACAAGCAGCAGGUAUUAAGUAAUAUUGCCAAGAGGAACCGAAGAGAACUGUCGGGUGCCGGUGCAGCCUCUGCGUUACCGCAUUUGAUCCACGCUGCAACCCAAUGGGUAUCAAUCCCCUUCACGAUGAGGAAACCGAGACUCAGAGACGUUAAGGAAUUUGCCCUGGGUCCCACAGUUAUCAAUGGCUCGUCUGUCAGGUUCUGAUGCCGGCCUCGCACGUGAGGAGAUAGAUAUUUCAAUGUACAUGCAGCCAGGCACAUAACAUUCGAAACACAGAAACGUAGUGGAUUGACCCUGGGAUGGAGGACCGACCGGGAGCUGCGAUUCCUGGGGAUUUUGGUGCAAAUAUAGUUGAUAAGGUCGAGUCCUAGUUACAAGGCUUUGACGCAGGGGAGGGCCGAAGAAGACCCUUGAGGCUAGAUGGGCGGGAUUGCGGGAAAGGCGGGUCCACGUCCCAGUGUUGGAAGGGGAAAGGCAGACUGUUAAAAAGUCUCCAGGACCUGAGGCAGCAAAGCCUGGGGGAAGGGGGGCCCCAGCCAGACGAGCUGGGAGGAAGGUAGGACCACGCUCAGCACACACCCCGAAAGCACUAGUGAUGAAACCACACGUUUCCUCUUCCAUUUUGAUUGCCAAAGCAAAAAUGAACCGACCUGCUCUCUCAGGUGUGAAAAAAGACUGUUUGCUUUAGAACAUUUUGCUUUGAAUGAGGAAGGAAAGGGGGACACAAGAAAAAAAGCAUUUCCUUUGAAAUAAAUACAUCAACGUCAAUUUUUUUUUUCUAUCUGCUCAUGAAGAUUUUUGCCACUCACAUAAAUUUCAGGCAGAGCAUAUACUCUGGAACCAGAUGGCCUGGGUUUGAAUCCCAGCUGUGGUGCUUAUUAGCUUUGAUCCCAGAGCAAGUGACAACUUUUCCGUGCCUUAUUUUCUACAUCUGGAUGCUUACAAAGAGUGAAUGAGCUAACAUUUGUAGAGUGUUUGGAUUACUGCCGAACGUGAAGUAGGUGCUAUGUAAAUGUUUUUGAAUUUAAAAAUUAGAUUAUGGUUUUCAGGGUGAAAUGGAACAAAAUUCCAUCCAGCUCCCAGUAAAUCCGACUGGAACGGAUGGUUUCCAGUAUGAGCCAGGAGGUAAAAAGUCUCAGAUUCCAUGGUAUGGUUCGUAUUAAAACCCAUAAAACUCUAGUCCCUGUGGGGCCUGCCUGAGUUAUUCAGUCACAGAGCCACAAAUAUUUCCUGAGCACUACUGUAUUGGAUGCCUGGGAGGCAAAGCUCGGCGAGAGGAUGCAAGUGUUACUGGGAGGUUGACGCAGCCUUGUAUCCCUCCUGGAAAUGCCAUGAAAAUGGCACAGAGUGACAAAGUACUACCAACUUUUAGAGGAACAAGACGUGUGUGUGCGCGCACACGCAUCUGUUUGGGAGGGGUCCUCGAGAAGGAAGUAGUGAAUUUUGAAAUGGGCCUGAGAAGAUGGGGACAAUUUGACUCCAGUGUUGGGCUGGGGUGGGGGUGGGGGUCAUCGGUGCACUUUGGAUGAUGCUUGUACUUCACUGGGAUCCCCGUUUACUGCCACAUUUAUCGCUAGCCAGGACCUGGCCCCAGUUAGAUUACAGUUUCUUCUCUGACUCCUGUAUUUCCACUGUUUCCUCAGAGGUCUCCUGCCUCCCCCUCCCAUAGUGGCACAGAGUGUCAAUUGAGUCUGAGCCCUGCUGUGGUCCUUUUGCCAUCCCCGACACAUUUUGAAAGUAUUUACAUUGACUGAUUUUAUGCAUUCAUUUUUUUCAGUGCAAUAAACAGCCCGGAUGUCUGAAAAUGUGACUCCGCCUAUUGGGAAAGGAAUGUCAAAAAAGGCCUUUCACAUCAGCUAUCUCAGUCCCCUGUUGUAUCAGUGCAAGAUGAGCUUCAACAAUUUGCUGAAGGUUUUGCAGCUGUGUUCACGGCUGGGUAACUAGAUGCCCUAACGACCUUCAGUGGUGAGCCAGGGCACCCUCUGGGGAACCACAUUGUGCUCUGUCCUUAGAGACACCCAUUAUGGAAGGUACCAGGCUGAAGCUGGGGCCGGGUAGUUCCGUUGGGGAAAGUGUGGGACUGAAGAGGCCAAGGUCAGUGGUUGAUCCUGGUUCAGGCCAGUUAAUUUCGCACAAAGAUGAAUUGCUCCAAGGCCAUCGCACUUCUAGUGCUAGCUGGUCAUUUUAUAAAGAGUUGUUGUUGGUUUCAAUAGCAAAGUACCAUCCAUUUCUAGAAAGAUUACUCAAACUACUAUUGUUCUAUUCAGUCCUAUUCAUUCAGCAAACAAUUAUCUGAACCUAUUAACUAUUUUUCCUCCCAUAUAUCUUGUACUUACUUAUUUUCCAGGAACUUACUAAAUGUUAAUUGCUUUACCUGUAUUGUCUCAUUUAAGUCUUACAACACUGGGAGUAAGGUGCUACUAUUUCCCCAUUUUAUAGAUGAGAUGACUAAAACAUGGAGACCAAGCCUAGUUACAAGCCUGUGCAGUCUGACGCCAGAGCUGGCCCCCUCUUAACCACCAAGUUUGUGAAGGAUUCAGGAAGACAUAAAACAAGACUCUUUCCCUCCACAUUUUCGAUAAUUAUCAUCAUUUAGAAUCUCCUUUCCUUUUCAGCUAGCAAUUUCAUGUCCAAAGAUUUGUCCUACAGAAAGUCAUCCAGAGAUAUAUAUAGUAUAGAUGGAGUGUAUGUUUAUGUGUAUAUACGAAGUGUAUAUCUGGAAUAUAUAUACACAUUUGCUGCAGCAUAAUAGUGAAAUUUGGAAAUCACUGUCAUUCUCAUCAGCAAGGGAUUGAACAGCACCAAGGAAAAGCCGUGUGAACACACAGCAAGAAGGCAGCCGUCUGCAGUCCUAGAAGAGAGCUCUCACCAGAGCGCAACCAUGCUGGCAACCCCAUCCCGGACUCCAGCCUCCAGACUGGGCUUCCCUGGUGGUGCAGUGGUUAAGAAUCCACCUGCCAAUGCAGGGGACACGGGUUCGAGCACUGGUCCGGGAAGAUCCCACAUGCCGCAGAGCAACUAAGCCCGUGUGCCACAACUACUGAGCCUGCGUGCCACAACUACUGAAGCCCACGCGCCUAGAGCCCAUGCUCCGCAACAAGAGAAGCCACCGCAAUGAGAAGCCCGCGCACUGCAACGAAGAGUAGUCCCCGCUCACCACAGCUAGAGAAAGCCCAAGCACUGCAAUGAAGACCCAAUGCAGCCAAAAAUAAAAUAAAUAAAUUUAUAAAAAGAAUCCUUUCUAUUUCUGAAUUUUCCAAGUAUUCUUCAAUAAGCAUGUAUUAUUUUAUGAUUAUAGGAAAAAAGUUAGCUUUAUAAGCAAAUAGCUAGUUUUUAAUUUAAAAGUACCUCAGAGAUCUCACAGCUGCUUUGUGAUUUAAAAAAAAAGCAACAACAUACCACUAACUUUAUCUUCAACUUAAAAAUAAUUGUGUCUUUGAUAUAUUUUUCAAGAAAUUUUAGCCAACUUUAUAUCCAUUCGUGUUAAAAUUCCUGCCACUGGAAAAGAUAUACAAAACUGACUGGCAGUUUGAACCCCGAGAACUGGUGAAACUCAGUAUGAGUCACUGGAGACAGGUAAUUUGCUAAGGAAUCUUCUUUCAAAUUUCAUCAUAAUUUGUAUGAUGACUCCACAUGUCUGUCAAAUGUUGUUAAAAUUAAGUGCAACACUAGGCUGGAGGUUUUAGCCCAGUCCAGCUUAACUCCUUCAUUUAGGAAUUAAACAAUAACAAGCUAGAUUUAUCCUUACACCUAAUGCAUAAUGAUGGUUUGGAUGUUCUAAUUGGAUAAGUGGCCAAAUGCUCCCUCCAGCAUAUAAUGUCAGAAGAUGUCACAGUCCUGGUUUGCUGCAAAGACAUAUCAGGAACAUGGUCCUGACCUGGAGGUCACUUUCUGGUAACUUCAAUCCCUGGAACAGAACUCUGAACCGGAAGGUAAGAGGGGAAGAGCCUCUGCGUAGCCAAGUCCCUGCAUCUUCAUGGAGAUGCCUUUCUUAGGCUUGCUCUUUGAUUCUGGCUGAAGAUCUAAUUUCAGAAGGUCCAGUUAUGUGGUUUCCCAGUCCUCAGUGGAUUAGAAACCAAGAAAAUAAAAAAGCUUUUGGAGACGGAGGAGGGAGGGGGAGGAGAAAAUGACUUUAUUCAGUUCAUUCCUCUCUGUAAGUGGAUUAGCUGACAACAACAAAGGAGGGAAAGAAAAGUUAACAAGCAUUCCCAGAGGUUAUAUGUGCCCCAGACAAUCUUCUUCAUUCCCAGUGAUGACCUUGGGGUAGGAAAAUGUGUUUGAACUGUGAUCAGAAAUUUUCAUAUAGUUUUGCUGGUAAGAGUGGUGGCCUCUGGGGAGGAGAUCACUUCUGAGGUGGUAAGAGGAGACAGGACUCAUUCAUGCUCUUGUAUAUUUUUCAGAUAUUAUAUUAUGUGCAUUAUGUUUCUUUUGCUUAAAAAUAAAUUUUUAAAAAAUGAUUUAAUGCCCCCACAAAAGACUUUACAAAUAAAAAGUACAUAAAAGAAAAGUAUAUAAAUUAAAAUAUUGGAGACCUGAAACCAUAAAACUCUAGAAGAAAACAUACUGGGUGAGCUCCUUGACAUUGGCCUUGGCAAUGAUUUCUUUGGAUUUAACACCAAAAGCAACAAAAGGCAACAAAAGCAAAAAUAAACAGUUGGGGCUACACCAAACCAAAAAGCUUCUGCACAGCAAAGGAAACCGUCAACAAGAUGAAAAGGCAACCUACGGAAUGGGAGAAAAUACUUGCAGUAUCUGAUAAGGGAUUAAUAUCCAAAAUAUGUAAAGAACUCAUACAACUCAACAACAAAAAAACAAACAAUCUGAUUUUUUAAAUGGGCAGAAGAACUGAAUAGACAUUUUUCCAAAGAAGAUAUACAGAUAGUCAACAGGUACAUGAAAAGAUGCUCAACAUCACUAAUCAUCAGGGAAAUGCAAAUCACGACCACAAUGAGAUGUCACCUCACACGUAUCAGAAUGGCUAUCAUCAAAAAGACAGCAAAUGACAAGUUGGCAAGGAUGUGGAGAAAAGGGACCCCUCAGGCACCGUUGGAAUGCAAAUUGGUAUAGCCACUAUGGAAAACAGUAUGGAGGUUCCUCAAAACAUUAAAAAUAGAACUACCAUGUGAUCCAGCAGUUCCACUUCUGUGUAUAUAUCAGAAGGAAACAAAAUCACUAUCUCAAAAAGAUAUCUGCACUCCCAUGUUCACUGCAGCAUUAGUUACAAUAGCCAGGACAUAGAAACAAAGUGUGUCCACUGACAGAUGAAUAGAUAAAGAAAAU
This is a long non-coding RNA of Orcinus orca (killer whale), 5965 nucleotides long. RefSeq lists it as uncharacterized. NCBI's taxonomy places the organism in Eukaryota, Metazoa, Chordata, Mammalia, Artiodactyla, Delphinidae. The record is from RefSeq and is a predicted model, not a curated record. The transcript has 4 exons.